Molecule: ribosomal RNA, 453 nt
Filed under: uncultured Bacteroidota bacterium
Lineage: Bacteria; Pseudomonadati; Bacteroidota
Description: bacterial SSU rRNA
Rfam family: Bacterial small subunit ribosomal RNA
Source: RNAcentral
ACGGGAGGCAGCAGUGAGGAAUAUUGGUCAAUGGAGGAAACUCUGAACCAGCCACGCCGCGUGCAGGAAGAAAGCCCUAUGGGUUGUAAACUGCUUUUAUGAAGGAAUAAUUUUUCUACGUGUAGAAAAUUGAAGGUACUUCAUGAAUAAGUAUCGGCAAACUCCGUGCCAGCAGCCGCGGUAAUACGGGGGAUACGAGCGUUAUCCGGAUUUAUUGGGUUUAAAGGGUGCGUAGGCGGUUUAUUAAGUCAGUAGUGAAAUCUUAUAGCUUAACUAUAAAACUGCUAUUGAUACUGGUAAACUCGAGUGAUAUUGAAGUAACUGGAAUGUGUGGUGUAGCGGUGGAAUGCAUAGAUAUCACAUAGAACACCAAUUGCGAAGGCAGGUUACUAAGUAUUUACUGACGCUGAGGCACGAAAGCAUGGGGAGCAAACAGGAUUAGAUACCCUGGUA